Molecule: ribosomal RNA, 471 nt
Filed under: Triticum aestivum (bread wheat)
Lineage: Eukaryota; Viridiplantae; Streptophyta; Magnoliopsida; Poales; Poaceae
Description: partial small subunit ribosomal RNA
Source: RNAcentral
AUGGCCUGGCCGACCCUCGCCGCGCCCCUUGUGUUUGCGUCGAUCUUCAUCCUAGCCAUGGCCGACCCUUCAUUUGUGUGCCCCAUUCUUCCUUGUGAGCGUGAGAUAAGCCUGCGUUUGUACUUGCACCAAGUUAUUGAUGGGCCAGACCACAACCAGGUAGUAACCGUAAGUUCUGGCCACCCGGCUUGGUUCGGCACGACCGCCGUCAUCGAUUGGACGGUCACCGACGCGCCUCAACGCGGUGCGACUAUUGUCGCCCGCGCGAAAGGCAUGCAAUUGCAGGCGGACAUAGAGGGUCCUGGCUGGUUCAAUUAUUUCACCAUGGUGUUCGAAGAUCCAAGGUUCAGUGGGUCGACGCUUGCAGUGAUGGGUCAGUAUCUAUCAGAAUUCAGAAGGCGAGAUGGCUAUUAUGGGCGGGACAGGAGAGUUCGCCAUGGGGCGUGGCGUCAUCAAGUUCAGAACAGUUAG